Molecule: ribosomal RNA, 768 nt
Filed under: Streptomyces tendae
Lineage: Bacteria; Bacillati; Actinomycetota; Actinomycetes; Kitasatosporales; Streptomycetaceae
Description: bacterial SSU rRNA
Rfam family: Bacterial small subunit ribosomal RNA
Source: RNAcentral
AGUGGCGAACGGGUGAGUAACACGUGGGCAAUCUGCCCUGCACUCUGGGACAAGCCCUGGAAACGGGGUCUAAUACCGGAUACUGACCCUCGCAGGCAUCUGCGAGGUUCGAAAGCUCCGGCGGUGCAGGAUGAGCCCGCGGCCUAUCAGCUUGUUGGUGAGGUAAUGGCUCACCAAGGCGACGACGGGUAGCCGGCCUGAGAGGGCGACCGGCCACACUGGGACUGAGACACGGCCCAGACUCCUACGGGAGGCAGCAGUGGGGAAUAUUGCACAAUGGGCGAAAGCCUGAUGCAGCGACGCCGCGUGAGGGAUGACGGCCUUCGGGUUGUAAACCUCUUUCAGCAGGGAAGAAGCGAAAGUGACGGUACCUGCAGAAGAAGCGCCGGCUAACUACGUGCCAGCAGCCGCGGUAAUACGUAGGGCGCAAGCGUUGUCCGGAAUUAUUGGGCGUAAAGAGCUCGUAGGCGGCUUGUCGCGUCGGUUGUGAAAGCCCGGGGCUUAACCCCGGGUCUGCAGUCGAUACGGGCAGGCUAGAGUUCGGUAGGGGAGAUCGGAAUUCCUGGUGUAGCGGUGAAAUGCGCAGAUAUCAGGAGGAACACCGGUGGCGAAGGCGGAUCUCUGGGCCGAUACUGACGCUGAGGAGCGAAAGCGUGGGGAGCGAACAGGAUUAGAUACCCUGGUAGUCCACGCCGUAAACGGUGGGCACUAGGUGUGGGCAACAUUCCACGUUGUCCGUGCCGCAGCUAACGCAUUAAGUGCCCCGCC